RNAcentral lists this ribosomal RNA (785 nucleotides) under uncultured bacterium. RNAcentral's name for it is "bacterial SSU rRNA". It matches the Rfam family "Bacterial small subunit ribosomal RNA", at positions 60 to 834 of the family's 1533-position model. The record is from RNAcentral.
AGUCGAGGGGCAGCGGGAUUGAAGCUUGCUUCAAUUGCCGGCGACCGGCGCACGGGUGAGUAACGCGUAUCCAACCUUCCGUACACUCAGGGAUAGCCUUUCGAAAGAAAGAUUAAUACCUGAUGGUAUGAUGAGAUUGCAUGAUAGCAUCAUUAAAGAUUCAUCGGUGUACGAUGGGGAUGCGUUCCAUUAGGUAGUAGGCGGGGUAACGGCCCACCUAGCCUACGAUGGAUAGGGGUUCUGAGAGGAAGGUCCCCCACAUUGGAACUGAGACACGGUCCAAACUCCUACGGGAGGCAGCAGUGAGGAACAUUGGUCAAUGGACGAGAGUCUGAACCAGCCAAGUAGCGUGAAGGAUGAAGGUCUUACGGAUUGUAAACUUCUUUUAUAAGGGAAUAAAACCUCCCACGUGUGGGAGCUUGUAUGUACCUUAUGAAUAAGCAUCGGCUAACUCCGUGCCAGCAGCCGCGGUAAUACGGAGGAUGCGAGCGUUAUCCGGAUUUAUUGGGUUUAAAGGGAGCGCAGACGGGUCGUUAAGUCAGCUGUGAAAGUUUGGGGCUCAACCUUAAAAUUGCAGUUGAUACUGGCGUCCUUGAGUGCGGUUGAGGUGUGCGGAAUUCGUGGUGUAGCGGUGAAAUGCUUAGAUAUCACGAAGAACUCCGAUUGCGAAGGCAGCACACUAAGCCGUAACUGACGUUCAUGCUCGAAAGUGUGGGUAUCAAACAGGAUUAGAUACCCUGGUAGUCCACACGGUAAACGAUGGAUACUCGCUGUUGGCGAUAUAC